UAAGGAAUGUGAUGAGAGAAUAAGAUUUAUAAAUUAUAAAGUGAUAAAAUCACAUAGUAUUUGAUACAUGCAAAUGACAGAGAACAUAGUCGAAGCUUUCAAGUCUGUUUAUGUCAUGAUUAUCUUUCUUUCCUUAUUUCUUCUUUCAACAAACAUUGACGCAGCUGAAUGUUAUCAAGAUUCUGAUUGUCCAGAAGAUAUGUGCUCAUAUCUUGCAAAACCGACGUGUAUUUUCACAGAGUAUUUUCCCAUUUUUUGGAUGGCCGUAUGUGGAUGUGAUUGAUCAAUGUGUCCGUAAGAUUAUUUUAGCAAAAAUCCAUGAGCUACCAUUUUGUUAUUAUGGUAGUAAUAAAAUAAAGUAGAAAAUAGUUAUUUAGAUUGUCUUCUACCGGUACGAACCCAAUGUUGGGUCAUGUAUGGCUAAAGACAUCUAUUUCCGAAAGUUUUUUUUUUUUUUUUUUUUAUAAAUAAUAAAACACAUAACUAUAUCAAAACACAUCUUUCUCAGACGAAAUAAAUAAGUGCAAUACAUUUGUUAUAUUUAUAAACUUUUGAAGUUGGUUUUGCUCUUGUGAAUAACAACUACAAGUGUUGAACAUGUUUUUUCUGCUGCGAAAGUUGUGAAAAGUCAACUAUGUAACAAAAUGAAUGAUCAGUGGCUAAAUAACCGUCUUGUAACUUAUAUAGAAAUAGAUGUUCUUUUAACAAUUAGCAAUGAUUUAUUUUAGCGCAUUUUAAACAAAUAGAUAGCUCGCAAUUACUGUAAUUGUAUUGCAUCAAACAAUGCAUUUAUUAUUUUUGGGCUUAA
Medicago truncatula (barrel medic) is the source of this 808-nucleotide long non-coding RNA. RefSeq lists it as uncharacterized. Lineage: Eukaryota; Viridiplantae; Streptophyta; Magnoliopsida; Fabales; Fabaceae. The transcript is spliced from 2 exons. The record is from RefSeq and is a predicted model, not a curated record.